GCUGGCGGCAGGCUUAACACAUGCAAGUCGAACGGUUGUAGCAAUACAGCAGUGGCGCACGGGUGAGUAACACGUGGAUAUCUGCCUUUUGGUUCGGAAUAACCCUGGGAAACUAGGGCUAAUACCGGAUGGUUCCUACGGGAUAAAGAUUUAUCGCCAAAAGAUGAGUCCGCGUACGAUUAGCUAGUUGGUGAGGUAAUGGCUCACCAAGGCGACGAUCGUUAGCUGGUCUGAGAGGACGAUCAGCCACACUGGGACUGAGACACGGCCCAGACUCCUACGGGAGGCAGCAGUGGGGAAUAUUGGACAAUGGGGGCAACCCUGAUCCAGCCAUGCCGCGUGAGUGAUGAAGGCCUUCGGGUUGUAAAGCUCUUUUGGCGGGGACGAUGAUGACGGUACCCGCAGAAUAAGCCCCGGCUAACUUCGUGCCAGCAGCCGCGGUAAGACGAAGGGGGCUAGCGUUGUUCGGAAUUACUGGGCGUAAAGCGAGUGUAGGCGGUUGUCAUAGUCAGGUGUGAAAGCCUUGAGCUUAACUCAAGAAAUGCACUUGAUACUGGGCGACUAGAGGACCGGAGAGGAUAGUGGAAUUCCCAGUGUAGUGGUGAAAUACGUAGAGAUUGGGAAGAACACCAGUGGCGAAGGCGGCUAUCUGGACGGUUACUGACGCUAAGACUCGAAAGCGUGGGGAGCAAACAGGAUUAGAU
RNAcentral lists this ribosomal RNA (704 nucleotides) under uncultured soil bacterium. Its description in RNAcentral is "bacterial SSU rRNA". It matches the Rfam family "Bacterial small subunit ribosomal RNA", at positions 35 to 783 of the family's 1533-position model. The record is from RNAcentral.